Lotus japonicus is the source of this 499-nucleotide long non-coding RNA. RefSeq lists it as uncharacterized. The record is from RefSeq and is a predicted model, not a curated record. The transcript is spliced from 2 exons. NCBI's taxonomy places the organism in Eukaryota, Viridiplantae, Streptophyta, Magnoliopsida, Fabales, Fabaceae.
AGGAAAGGAACUGGGCUUUCAAUUAUAUGGGGUUCUAUAUGCUGUGAAGACCACUUCACCUGGCACAGGAUGAAUUGUUUAAGUGCAGAUGUUGACGGAAGUGCAUAUAUUUUAAAUCGCAAUGGCCGUAAACGCAAACAUACGCAACUUAGUGACUUCAUUUUUUGAUGGCUGAAGCACUUUGUCCUGAGUUUUGAAGAACUUCUUAAAAUUGUUCUUGAAAUGUGAUCAGUGGAUAAUGGGGUGAAUAUUCUUCUCGAUUCCUCAUUCUUCUUGGAGACUUGACUGAUAAAGAUUUUAAAUAAGGCGCUGUUAAAGGUAUGGGCUUCUUCCCUACAAAAGUCAGAAGUAUAGAUCUUAUUCAGGAUGACGAAGAUUGUUCCAUACCUCACAAUCAAAUUAUAAUGCUUCUGUAUAUCUACUCUUAAAUUAUUUAUAAAGUAUGGGAAACAUACUAAAGUAAAAUUAAAACAUACACUCUAUUAGUUCCAACUUGAAA